CGUGUCUUUUAUUUUCAUUGGAUUGCUGGACAUGCUUGCAGUCCACUUCGUAUUGCCAUAUCUAGACAAUCAUAUGAAAGAGUUGGGCUUCAAUCAUAUUCAGAUUGGAUUCGUUGGAGCUGCAUUUUACGCGUGUCAAUUGAUAUCAUCACCAUUUAUAGGCAGCGUGAGUGAUAUAAAGGGAAGAAAACCAGUAUUAUUAUAUAAUCAGUUUGAUUGUUUGCUCAUUUGCUUAUUUCUGGUUAGGAAUAACAUCGUCGUUUUUUGUUUUCUUUAGUCUACGCAUUGUCUUGGGAAUAUUUAAACAAACGCAAAUACUUGCUAGAGCAUUAGCGCCUGACUACCUUGACGACCCAAAUGACGUAUCUAUUCUCUAUGGAAAACUUCUGUCAUUGGGGAAACUAGGGACGGAUCUAGGAACUAACUUAGGUGGCCGAAUCACGAAGGCUUUCCCCAAAAGUGGAUUUACUAUAGCAUGUGCAUUGACAACACCAUUAUACUUCAUAAUUUUACGUUUAGUCAAUGGAUUGCCCGAAAUUUCUGAAGAGAAGAAAGAAGACAAUCCAGAGUCAAAGAAAAAAACACAAAAACUAAAUAAUUCCAUCACUGAGACUUACAAACAAAGUAUCAACAACAUUUACAGCAUAGACUGGAACAAAUACUGGGACAUAUACCUAUUCAAACUCAUUUUGUCCACCUCCAUAGGUUUAUACUAUAUGAAUUUUAGUUCAUUUUUAGAAGCAAACCACGAAAUAUCAUCUGACUACAUAGGCUAUAUUGGUACUUUCCAAGGAAUCAUUGCCACUAUAAUACUUGAAACCGUUUUUUACUCAAAUAAGUUGUAUCGUAAUGAUACAGAUUAUAGUCAGAGAAUCUUUCAUGUAUUUCUAGUCAUAGUUUUGUCCUUUGUAGGGUUAGCUUUAGUUCCUAAUGUUUAUUUGUAUGUGGCAUUAGUAGUGCCGAAAGCAAUGUAUUUCUCACUUGGUAGGAUGGUAACUUUAAAUGUUCUGUGGAGUAGAAGUGACGAUACCAACCGUGGAGUACUAAUAGGAUUAUUGUAUAAUGUAGGGCUUAUAUCUAGUGUUAUAACACCCCUCAUUAGUGGUAUCAUUAAUCAUUAUUUAGGAGUAAAUUAUGUAUUUUACACAGGUGCUAUGUUAGCAUCGGUAGGACUUGUUUUAAGUUAUCAAUCGAGAACAAGAUCUUUAGAAGAGAAAAUAAAAUAGAUAACUACACA
This is a long non-coding RNA of Helicoverpa zea (corn earworm), 1237 nucleotides long. RefSeq lists it as uncharacterized. The transcript has 5 exons. The record is from RefSeq and is a predicted model, not a curated record. NCBI's taxonomy places the organism in Eukaryota, Metazoa, Arthropoda, Insecta, Lepidoptera, Noctuidae.